This 5758-nucleotide long non-coding RNA is filed under the name Homo sapiens (human). RNAcentral's name for it is "non-protein coding lnc-EPS15L1-3:5". The record is from RNAcentral. Lineage: Eukaryota; Metazoa; Chordata; Mammalia; Primates; Hominidae.
ACAACAGCGGCGUGACGCUCAGGGAUCCCCCGGGCGCCCCGGGCUCCCGCCUGCGCGAGCAUCCCGGGGACCUGGAGCGGGGGCGGUGUCGGGGCCUCUCAGAGACUCUCAGGGGAGCACCGGGCUUGGCGGUCUCCCCGGAUCCCUUGACGGAAGGGGAGAUUGGCUCCAGCCUCAGAGAGGGCUGCAGAACCCUGGAUGGAUGGGAAGUCUGGAGUCUCCAGGAUUCAUGGAUGGGAAUAAAUGUGAAGGUCUUGAGUCCAAAAUGGCCAGCUUGGCUAGGCGCGGUGACUCAUGCCCAUCAUCCCAGCACUUUGGGAGGCCGAAGCAGGAGGAUCGCUUGAGCUCAAGAGUUUGAGACCAGCUUGACAAACAUGGAAACCCUACUUGGCUGUGCUUCCUGCUAACACGAGGCCCUGCGAUUGCUGAGAACAACAGCCCCGAGACUGCGCGGCUCCGGGGGGAAAAAAACCUGGCCCCCUUUCAAGCCUUGACAGAAAACCUUUCAGAGCCCUGAACUCCCACCAGCCCGAGGACGGCUCCGAUAGCUCUGACAAAUGAGCCGGGACUGUGCCCAGGGCUCCCAGGCUGGGAGGGGACCCCGGCUCCCUUGUUCCUUCCUAAGGUCGGAAAAAAAAGCGCGUGUCCCUUCCUCCACCACAGAGGAACAGAGAAGUGUUUGCAUUGGUGGAUUUUUAAAUACUUGUUUAUUUUUAUUAAAGUGCAAUUCACAUGAAAUUAACCAUUUUUAAAGUAGUGGCAUUUUAUACAUGCAGUGUUGUGCAACCGCCACCUCUACUUAGUUCCAGAAUAUUUUCAUCACCUUAAAGGGAUACCCUGUCCCCAUUACCAGUCACUUCCCAUUUCUCCACCCCCAGUCCCUGGCAAACACCAAUCUGUUUUCUGGCCCUAUGGAUUUGCCUCUGUGGGCAUCUCACAUAGAUAGGAUUGUACAAUAUGUGGCCUUUUAUGUCUGGUUUCUUUUACUCUAGGUAAUAUUUUCUUUUUUUUUUUAAUUUCUUUUUUCUUUUCUUUCUUUUUUUUUUUUUUUGAGACAGAGUUUCACUCUUCUUGCCUAGGCUGCAGUGCAAUGGCACGAUCUCGGCUCACUGCAGCCUUGACCUCUGGGGUUCAAGCGAUCCUCCUGCCUCAGCCCUGCACCAUGUGCCACCAUGCCCAACUAAUUUUCCUAUUUUUAGUACAGACAGGGUUUCACCAUGUUGGCCAGGCUGAUCUGGAACUCCUGACCUCAGGUGAUCCACCUGCCUCGGCCUCCCAAAGUGCUGGGAUUACAGGCAUAAGCCACCGCACCCGGCCCAACUUCCAGUUUCUUCUUUCUGCCCACUCCCUCUCCACGUGGCUCAUCAAAGUGUGGAGUUUGUUUCAUGGUGGUUACAGCACAACCCCUCCCCAUCCACCUGUGCAUCCACUCAUUCGUUCCUUUAAACAUUUAUUCAAUCAAUCCUUCCCCAUCCCUGGGGCGCCUGGCACUUGGCCUGCUGCUGCCACCUAGACCCCAGGCUCAUCGUCGCUAGAGCAACCCCACCUCCCUUCCUGGAGCAGGUGCGUCCUCACCCAGAUUUGCCUUAUUAGCAAAUCCCCUGUGAUUCUGGGUUCCACCCGGCCCUCGGUCUGGGUCUCACACACUUUUGGUCCAAGUGCCAACCUGUUUGGGUUGCUCUGUGAUUAGCAGAUGAUGACCCCAAGGUCCCAUCUAGCCCACCACCUGUGUUUCGGCUUUCAAGCUCGGAAUGUUUUAUUUAUCUUUUAAAACUGUGAUAAAAUAUACAUAACAGACAGGGCACAGUGGCUCACACCUGCAAUUCCAGCACUUUGGGAGGCUGAGACGAGCGGAUCAUUUGAGGCCAGGAGUUCAAGACCAGCCUGGACAACACGAUGAAACUCUGUUUCUACUAAAAAUACAAAAAUUAGCUGGGUGUGGUGGCAGGUGUCUGUAAUCCCAGCUACUCGGGAGGUUGAGGCAGUAGUAUCACUUGAAGCCGGGAGGCAGAGUUGCAGUGAGCUGAGAUUGCGCCACUGCACUCCAGCCUGGGUGACAAAGACUCAGACUCAAAAAAAAAAGUAUAUAUAUACACACACACACAUACACACACACACACACACAUACACACACACAUACACACACACAUAUAUACACAGAUACACACACAAACACACACACACAUAUAUAUAUGUAUACACAUAACAGAAAAUUGACCAUUUUAACCAUUUAAAAAAAUAGAUGGCGUCUCUCUUUGUCAUCUAGGCUGGAGUGCAGUGGCACAAUCAUAGUUCACUACAGCCUCAACCUCCUGGGCCCAAGCCACCCUCCUGCCUCAGCCUCCCGAGUAGCUGGGACCACAGGUGUGCACCACCAUGACUGCCUAAUUCUUUUUCUUUUCAUAGAGAUGGGGUCUCCCUAUGUUGCCUGGGCUGGCCUUUUUACAUUUUAUAAAAUUUGGGAGAAUAUUAAAAGAAAAAUAUUUUGUGACAUGUGAAAGCUCUAGGAAAUUCAAAUUUUGGUGUCCAUAAAUAAAGUUAAUGGCACAUGCCUGUGCCCAUUUGUCACAUCUCAUCUUAAGGCUGCUUUGGGGACACAAAGGCAGAGUUCAGUGGUUGCAACACAGACCUUAUGGCUUGCAAAGCCCGCUCUUUGCAGGAACACUUUGCCCAGCCUGCAAUUCCUCCUCGUUUCACCAGCCCCCUCCAACUCUGCCGAGCCACCUUCAUCUUGCCCGGGGAAUCAACCCGAGCCAUCUACUUUCUCCCCUGGCCCAACAGCUCAUUCUCCACCCGUCAGCCAGAGGGACCUUCUGAAACAUCACGGGAUCGAGGGAGAGGCCUCAGGAUAUGGCCUCUGGGACAUCACCUUCUGUCACUCCUUUCCCUCGGCCCCAGCCCAGGGGCCUAUUGUCACUGUUCCUCAGACCCACUGGGUCUUUCUGGACUCACAUGUGUGUGUCCACUGAACCCCCACGCUGGGCCUGCAAACUUUACUCGGGGUGGCACGUUCAGAUCCCAGCUCAGAUGUCACAACUGCAGAGAGGCCACCCUUGGAAGAUGCUUCUCUUAGUUCAAGAUUUCUGAGCCACAUGUCAGUAGGGAUACAUGCCUCCCUCCCCACUGCACCCAUCCAUGACAACCAAAAAUAUCCCAGACAUUGUGAGAACCAGGGCAGUACUCACCUUGUUUUUAUAAAAGCAGCUUAAUAUUUAAUAAAUUAAUUAAUUUAAUUAAUAUUAAUAAUUUUAUUUUUUGAGACGGAGUUUUGCUCUUGUUGCCCAGGCUGGAGUGCAAUAGUGCAAUCUCAGCUUACUGCAACCUCCGUCUCCCCGGUUCAAGCCAUUCUCUUGCCUCAGCCUCCAGAGUAGCUGGGAUUACAGGCAUGCGCCACCACGUCCAGCUAAUUUUGUAUUUUUAGUAGAGACAGGGUUUCACUACGUUGGUCAGGCUGGUUUCGAUCUCCUGACCUCAAGUGAUCCAUCCGUCUCCACUUCCCAAAGUGCUGGGAUUACAGGCAUGAGCCACAGUGCCUGGCCUUGAAGAUGGGUGAUUUGUAAAGAAACAAAAUGUAUUUGUUAAUUUCUGGAAGCAGGGAAGUCCAAGGUCAAGGGACAGUUCUGGUGAGAGUCUUCCUCCUGGUGGGGACUUUCUGGAGAGGAGUCUGGGCAUGCUAACUUGCUAUCUCAGAUCUUUCUUCUUCUUUCAACUCUUUCUUUCUUAAUUUUUUUUUUUCAGAGACAGAGUCUCACUAUGUUGCCCAGGCUGGUCUUGAACUCCUGGGCUCAAGGGAUCCACUCGCUUUGGCUUCCCAAAGUGCUGGGAUUACAGGCAUGAGCCACCGAGCCUGGCCCCAGUCAUAACAUAAUCUAAUCAUAAUCUAAUCUAAUCAUGAUUUUAAAGGUCUCACUUCUCAAUGCUGCCACAUUGAGGAUUAAGUCUCUCUUUUCUUUCUUCCUUCCCUUCUUUCUCUUUCUUUCUUUCUCUUUCUUUUUCUUUCUUUCUCUCUGUCUUUCUCUUUCUUUCUUUCUCUCUUUCUUUCUCUUUCUUUCUCUCUUUCUUUCUUUCUGAUGGAGUCUCGCUCUGUCGCCAGGCUGGAGUGCAGUGGCGCGAUCUCGGCUCACUACAACCUCCGUCUCCUGGGUUCAAGCGAUUUUCCUGCCUCAUCCUCUGAGUAGCUAGGAUUACAGGCACCUGCCACCACACCCAGCUAAUUUUUGUAUUUUUAGUAGAGACGGGAUUUCACCACAUUGGCCAGGCUGGUCUCGAUCUCCUGACCUGGUGUUCUGUCCACCUUGGCCUCCCAAAGUGCUGGGAUUACAGGCAUGAGCCAUCGUGCCCAGCAUUUUUUUUUCUUUUUUUUUUGAGGCAGAGUCUCUCUCCGUUCCCCAGGCUCGAGUGCCGUGGCAUGAGCCUGGCUCACUGCAAUUUCUGCCUCCCGGGUUCAAGUGAUUCUCCUGCCUCAGCCUCCUGAGUAGCUGGGAUUAUAGGCACACGCUACCAUGCCCGGCUAAUUUUUUGUGUUUUUUAGUAGAGAUGGGGAUCUCACCAUGUUGCCCAGGCUGAUCUCAAACUCCUGAGCUCAGAUGAUUUGCCUGCCUCGGCCUCCCAAAGUGCUGGGAUUACAGGCAUGAGUCACCGUGCCCAGCCCUCCUUGACUUUUGGAGUGGACAAACAUUCAAACAGUAGCAGCGUGUAACAUUGACUCAUAUACAAAUCACAUCAAAUCAAAUUACAAAGUCACCAACCAUGAGUCAUCUGGAUACAUGGGAAAUACAGUAUUGGGUGCUGUAACUUCCUAUCCUCAGCACCACUGACAUUCGGGGCUGGAUUAUUCUCUUUGUGGGGCCAUCCUGCGCCCAGUAGGCUGCAGAGCAGCAUCCCUGGCCUCCACCCACCAGAUGCCAGUAACAUCCCCUCCCCAGAUUUUCUACAACAACCAAAAAUGUCUCCAGACAUUGCCUGGUGUCAGCAGUUAAAAUUACCCCCCAGUUGACCAAUCUCACUUGCCUAUUUUUGAUGGGAGGUAGAGGAGGGAGCAGAGGCCGGGUGCAGCACUUUGGGUGCCUGUAAUCCCAGUACUUUGGGAGGCCAAGGUGGGCGGAUCACCUGAGGUUAGGAGUUCAAGGCCAACCUGGCCAACAUGGUGAAACCCUGUCUCUACUGAAAAUACAAAAAUUACCUGGAUGUGGUGGUUCACGCCUGUAAUCCCAGCACUUUGGGAGGCCGAGGCAGGCAAUCAUGAGGUCAGGAGAUCAAGACCAUCCUGGCUAACAUGGUGAAACCCCGUGUCUACUAAACACACACACACACACACACACACACACACAAACAAAAUUAGCUGGGCAUAGUGGUGCGCACAUGUAGUCCCAGCUACUCAGGAGGCUGAGGCAGGAGAAUCACUUGAACCCGGGAAGUAGGUAGAGGUUGCAGUGAGCCAAGAUUGCGCCGUUGCACUCCAGCCUGAGUGAUAGAGUGAAACUCCAUCUCAAAAAAAAUAGUAAUUAAAAAAAGUAAAAAAUAAAGGCUGGGCGCGGUGGCUCACGCCUGUAAUCCCAGCACUUUGGGAGGCCGAGGCGGGUGGAUCACGAGGUCAGGAGAUCAAGACCAUCCUGGCUAACAUGGUGAAACCUCGACUCUACUAAAGAAUACAAAAAAUUAGCCAUGCAUAGUGGCGGGCGCCUGUAGUCCCAGCUACUCGAGAGGCUGAGGCAGGAGAGUGGCAUGAACCCGGGAGGCAGAGCUUGCAGUGAGCCAA